GGACGAACGCUGGCGGCAUGCCUAACGACAUGCAAGUCGAACGGGGGUAGCAAUACCCUAGUGGCGAACGGGUGAGUAACACAUAAGCAAUCUGCCCUUCGACAGGGGGAUAACAGCGGGAAACUGCUGCUAAUACCGCAUAAGACCACAGUACCGCAUGGUACAGGGGUAAAAACGAAUCAGUGGUGAAGGAUGAGCUUAUGUCCCAUUAGCUAGUUGGUGAGAUAACAGCCCACCAAGGCGACGAUGGGUAGCCGACCUGAGAGGGUGAUCGGCCACACUGGAACUGAGACACGGUCCAGACUCCUACGGGAGGCAGCAGUGGGGAAUAUUGGGCAAUGGAGGAAACUUCCUUACCCAGCAAUGCCGCGUGAGUGAAGAAGGUCUUCGGAUUGUAAAGCUCUUUGAUUGGGGACGAAGAAAGUGACGGUAUCCAAAGAACAAGCCCCGGCUAACUACGUGCCAGCCGCUGC
RNAcentral lists this ribosomal RNA (473 nucleotides) under uncultured bacterium. RNAcentral's name for it is "bacterial SSU rRNA". It matches the Rfam family "Bacterial small subunit ribosomal RNA", at positions 27 to 518 of the family's 1533-position model. The record is from RNAcentral.